UGUCCAAUGCGGGAAUCGAACCCGGGUCGAACUGGUCGAAACCCAAACGGUUUAACCAGCCUUCCACCGACCCCCCUCAGCCAUCUAUGAC
Non-coding RNA from Cordylochernes scorpioides, 91 nucleotides. The record is from the annotation of a GenBank genome assembly. NCBI's taxonomy places the organism in Eukaryota, Metazoa, Arthropoda, Arachnida, Pseudoscorpiones, Chernetidae.